Molecule: ribosomal RNA, 766 nt
Filed under: Staphylococcus aureus
Lineage: Bacteria; Bacillati; Bacillota; Bacilli; Caryophanales; Staphylococcaceae
Description: bacterial SSU rRNA
Rfam family: Bacterial small subunit ribosomal RNA
Source: RNAcentral
GAUGAACGCUGGCGGCGUGCCUAAUACAUGCAAGUCGAGCGAACGGAUGAGAAGCUUGCUUCUCUGAUGUUAGCGGCGGACGGGUGAGUAACACGUGGAUAACCUACCUAUAAGACUGGGAUAACUUCGGGAAACCGGAGCUAAUACCGGAUAAUAUUUUGAACCGCAUGGUUCAAAAGUGAAAGACGGUCUUGCUGUCACUUAUAGAUGGAUCCGCGCUGCAUUAGCUAGUUGGUAAGGUAACGGCUUACCAAGGCAACGGUGCAUAGCCGACCUGAGAGGGUGAUCGGCCACACUGGAACUGAGACACGGUCCAGACUCCUACGGGAGGCAGCAGUAGGGAAUCUUCCGCAAUGGGCGAAAGCCUGACGGAGCAACGCCGCGUGAGUGAUGAAGGUCUUCGGAUCGUAAAACUCUGUUAUUAGGGAAGAACAUAUGUGUAAGUAACUGUGCACAUCUUGACGGUACCUAAUCAGAAAGCCACGGCUAACUACGUGCCAGCAGCCGCGGUAAUACGUAGGUGGCAAGCGUUAUCCGGAAUUAUUGGGCGUAAAGCGCGCGUAGGCGGUUUUUUAAGUCUGAUGUGAAAGCCCACGGCUCAACCGUGGAGGGUCAUUGGAAACUGGAAAACUUGAGUGCAGAAGAGGAAAGUGGAAUUCCAUGUGUAGCGGUGAAAUGCGCAGAGAUAUGGAGGAACACCAGUGGCGAAGGCGACUUUCUGGUCUGUAACUGACGCUGAUGUGCGAAAGCGUGGGGAUCAAACAGG